AUUGAACGCUGGCGGCAGGCCUAACACAUGCAAGUCGAGCGGAUGAAGGGAGCUUGCUCCUGGAUUCAGCGGCGGACGGGUGAGUAAUGCCUAGGAAUCUGCCUGGUAGUGGGGGAUAACGUCCGGAAACGGGCGCUAAUACCGCAUACGUCCUGAGGGAGAAAGUGGGGGAUCUUCGGACCUCACGCUAUCAGAUGAGCCUAGGUCGGAUUAGCUAGUUGGUGGGGUAAAGGCCUACCAAGGCGACGAUCCGUAACUGGUCUGAGAGGAUGAUCAGUCACACUGGAACUGAGACACGGUCCAGACUCCUACGGGAGGCAGCAGUGGGGAAUAUUGGGCGAUGGGCGAAAGCCUGAUCCAGCCAUGCCGCGUGUGUGAAGAAGGUCUUCGGAUUGUAAAGCACUUUAAGUUGGGAGGAAGGGCAGUAAGUUAAUACCUUGCUGUUUUGACGUUACCAACAGAAUAAGCACCGGCUAACUUCGUG
Molecule: ribosomal RNA, 484 nt
Filed under: uncultured bacterium
Lineage: Bacteria
Description: partial 16S ribosomal RNA
Rfam family: Bacterial small subunit ribosomal RNA
Source: RNAcentral